Molecule: small RNA, 849 nt
Filed under: Pan troglodytes (chimpanzee)
Lineage: Eukaryota; Metazoa; Chordata; Mammalia; Primates; Hominidae
Description: retained intron
Source: RNAcentral
UCGCUGACCCUCCUGGGCCCGGGGAGGGGCCUCCUGCCCAGCACGCAGCCUUCCUGGUGCCCCUAGGCCCGGGACAGAUCUCAGCAGAAGGUACCAGGCAACUGGCAAACCCGGGAAGGUCGCCAGUGGGUGGGCACUAGGGUGGCCAGGGCAGGGCAGGUUCAGCCCUGGAGGAGCUCAGCGCGGUGACCCGCGGCGCGGUGCGGGCAGCCCUGAGGCCACUGCGCCCGCCCCCAGUGCAGGCCCCGCCCCCCGUGGUGAAUGUGCGCGUCCAUCACCCGCCCGAGGCCUCGGUCCAGGUGCACCGCAUUGAGAGCUCGAACGCCGAGGGCGCAGCCCCCUCCCAGCACCUGCUGCCGCACCCCAAGCCCUCGCACCCCCGGCCGCCCACCCAGAAGCCCCUGGGCCGCUGCUUCCAGGACACUCUGCCCAAGCAGCCCACACAGGAGUGCAGAAGCCAGGGCCUGUACGUGGGGAAGUGGGCGCUGACUGUCCCCAGGGCUACAAGAGGCUCAACAGCACCCACUGCCAGGACAUCAACGAGUGCGCAAUGCCGGGCGUGUGUCGCCAUGGUGACUGCCUCAACAACCCUGGCUCCUAUCGCUGUGUCUGCCCACCUGGCCAUAGUUUAGGCCCCUCCCGUACACAGUGCAUUGCAGACAAACCGGAGGAGAAGAGCCUGUGUUUCCGCCUGGUGAGCCCUGAGCACCAGUGCCAGCACCCACUGACCACCCGCCUGACCCGCCAGCUCUGCUGCUGCAGUGUCGGCAAGGCCUGGGGCGCGCGGUGUCAGCGCUGCCCAACAGAUGGCACCGCUGCGUUCAAGGAGAUCUGCCCAGCUGGGAAGGG